Molecule: long non-coding RNA, 521 nt
Filed under: Equus caballus (horse)
Lineage: Eukaryota; Metazoa; Chordata; Mammalia; Perissodactyla; Equidae
Description: lncRNA (ENSECAG00000046158.1)
Source: RNAcentral
GGAAGCAAGACACUUUGUGACCAGUCUCCCCUUGAGGAAAGAACGCAGGACUUUGUGCAUUCACUUGUAAGGCAAUGUAGGACACCAGCCAGCAGAAGUUCUACUUCAGCGAGAUGAAGGCUGGGAAGAAACUGUGUUUCACAGGCCUUUGUAAGGGAUCUUCCCGGUAGGCUGUAAGAGCAAUGUGGAGAGCGAGUUGUUUCUUAGCUUGCCAAAGAGCUGGAAGCAAGAACGUUGUGGCUUGUCUCCAUUGGAGGCACUGACUCAGUGCUUAGUGACUUCCACCUCUAGAGCAAUGUAGGACAUGGCUUAGAGCAGAAGUUCCAAGGCGUCGAGAUCAGGGCUGGAACAAACUGAUUUUCAGGACUUUGUAUGAGAGGUUCCCAGUAGGCUCUAAGAGUCCAGGGGAAAGUGAGUUCUUUCUCACCUUGUGAAAGAGCUGGAUGCAAGACUGUCUGUGACCUGUCUCCCUUUGAGGAAACAAGGCAGGACUUUGUCCCGUGCACAUCUAAGGCAAUGUA